AUGACUCUCAUCACCAUCCUCAUCUGGACGCUGGCCUGCUGCUGUUUUACAGGAUGCAGCGGUCAGGUGACUGUGACUCAGCCUGCAGUAAAGACAUCUGCUCCAGGAUCCACUGUCACUAUCAGCUGUAAGACCAGCCAGGCUGUCUACCCCAAUUGUGGUGAUAAUGCUCAUUGUAUGUCCUGGUUUCAGCAGAAGUCUGGACAGAUUCCAAAGCUCCUGAUAAGAAAAGUGAGCACACGUGAAUCAGGAACAGCAGCUCGGUUUAGUGGCAGUGGAAGCAGCUCUGACUUCACUUUGACCAUCAGUGGAGUUCAGACUGAAGAUGCAGCAGUUUAUUACUGUCAGAGUUAUCACUACAUAAACAGUGCUCAUGUGUUCACACAGUGA
This is a non-coding RNA of Centropristis striata (black sea bass), 390 nucleotides long. The record is from the annotation of a RefSeq genome assembly. NCBI's taxonomy places the organism in Eukaryota, Metazoa, Chordata, Actinopteri, Perciformes, Serranidae.